RNAcentral lists this ribosomal RNA (253 nucleotides) under uncultured bacterium. RNAcentral's name for it is "partial 16S ribosomal RNA". It matches the Rfam family "Bacterial small subunit ribosomal RNA", at positions 524 to 776 of the family's 1533-position model. The record is from RNAcentral.
GACAGAGGGUGCAGACGUUGUUCGGAAUUACUGGGCGUAAAGCGCGUGUAGGCGGCUAUGUAAGUCGGGCGUGAAAUCCCACGGCUCAACCGUGGAAGUGCACCCGAAACUGCGUAGCUAGAGUCCUGGAGAGGAAGGUGGAAUGCUUGGUGUAGAGGUGAAAUUCGUAGAUAUCAAGCGGAACACCGGUGGCGAAGGCGGCCUUCUGGACAGUGACUGACGCUGAGACGCGAAAGCGUGGGGAGCAAACAGG